Molecule: ribosomal RNA, 424 nt
Filed under: uncultured bacterium
Lineage: Bacteria
Description: partial 16S ribosomal RNA
Rfam family: Bacterial small subunit ribosomal RNA
Source: RNAcentral
GAAUAUUGGACAAUGGGCGCAAGCCUGAUCCAGCCAUACCGCGUGGGUGAAGAAGGCCCUCGGGUUGUAAAGCCCUUUUGUGGGGAAAGAAAAGCAGUCGGCUAAUACCCGGUUGUUCUGACGGUACCCAAAGAAUAAGCACCGGUUCACCUCGUGCCAGCAGCCGCGGUAAUACGAGGGGUGCAAGGGUUACUCGGAAUUACUGGGCGUAAAGCGUGCGUAGGUGGUUGUUUAAGUCUGUUGUGAAAGCCCUGGGCUUAACCUGGGAAUGGCAGUGGAUACUGGGCGACUAGAGUGUGGUAGAGGGGAGUGGAAUUCCCGGUGUAGCAGUGAAAUGCGUAGAGAUCGGGAGGAACAUCCAUGGCGAAGGCAGCUACCUGGACCAACACUGACACUGAGGCACGAAAGCGUGGGGAGCAAACAG